AUGGUAGAGAAGAACAGCGAGGUGCUGGUAGGCUCGCCGCCGGCGGCCGAUCACCACUGCCACCAGAAGGUCCUCCAGAACCACCCCGGCGUCAGCGGUGUUGUCCCCCCGGUUACUGAUGGUCUGCUGCAGGUGGUCGUAGCAGACACGGGCAAGCACGCGGCACGUGUGGCCGUGGAGGGCUUCGCGGUGCUGGAGCCUCCCGCGGACGCCGAGGCGGCGGCCGAGCGGCGAGACGACGUGGCCGCGCUCCUCGCCGGCUUCGCCCAACACCUCCAGGAGAGGACCACCCACCACCUGGGGUACCCUUACAACCUGGACUUCAACUUUAGUGUGAUGGCCCAAUUCCAGAACUUCUCCAUCAACAAUCUCGGCGACCCUUUCAUUGAGAGCAACUACGGCGUCCACUCCAGGCAGUUUGAAGUUGCCGUGCUUGACUGGUUUGCCCGCCUCUGGGACCUCCAACAGGACGAAUAUUGGGGAUACAUCACCAAUUGCGGCACUGAAGGGAACCUCCACGGCCUAUUAGUCGGGAGGGAGCUUUUUCCAGAUGGGAUCAUAUACGCGUCUCGUGAGUCGCACUACUCCGUGUUCAAGGCAGCUAGGAUGUAUAGAGUUGAUUGUGUGGAGAUCGACACUCUAAUUUCUGGAGAGAUGAACUGCGCAGAUUUUAAGUCCAAACUAUCGCUGAACCCCGGGAGGCCUGCGAUUGUUAAUGUGAAUAUAGGAACGACUGUCAAGGGAGCCAUCGACGAUCUUGACAGGAUUAUAAGAACGCUUGAAAAAUGUGGGUUUCGAGAUCGAUUCUACAUCCAUUGCGAUGGUGCUCUAGCUGGCCUUAUGAUGCCAUUUAUCAAACAAGCACCAAAGGUGACAUUCAAGAAGCCCAUCGGAAGCGUGAGCAUAUCAGGCCACAAGUUCAUGGGAUGUCCUGUACCAUGCGGCGUGGUAAUAACCAGGCUCGAGCAUGUAAAAGUGCUCUCCACUGAUAUCGAAUACCUAUCAUCUAGAGAUGCGACAAUCAUGGGGAGCCGCAAUGGGCAUGCACCAAUGUUCCUUUGGUACACGUUGAACAAAAAGGGAUAUAGAGGCAUCCGCAAAGAGGUCCAGAAGUGCUUGAGAAAUGCUCAUCAUCUCGUGAACCGUUUAAGGGAGGCGGGAGUGAGCGCGUACCUGAACGAGUUGAGCAGCACGGUGGUGUUCGAGAGACCACAAGACGAGGCAUUCGUCCACAAGUGGCAGCUCGCAUGCGAGGGAAGCAUCGCACAUGUGGUGGUAAUGCCAAAUGUGAGUGUGGAGAAGCUCGAUGACUUUAUCAAAGAGCUCAUCGGUGAGAGAUUGCGCUGGCAUGAAGGUGGAGGGUUUAGGGUGCCAUGUGUUGCAAAGGACAUCGGGCAAGAAAAUUGCCUCUGCGGCGUGCAUGACAAGAAAUUAAGAGUUGUGUAA
Molecule: ribosomal RNA, 1446 nt
Filed under: Triticum aestivum (bread wheat)
Lineage: Eukaryota; Viridiplantae; Streptophyta; Magnoliopsida; Poales; Poaceae
Description: partial small subunit ribosomal RNA
Source: RNAcentral